Molecule: ribosomal RNA, 253 nt
Filed under: uncultured bacterium
Lineage: Bacteria
Description: partial 16S ribosomal RNA
Rfam family: Bacterial small subunit ribosomal RNA
Source: RNAcentral
UACGUAGGUGGCAAGCGUUGUCCGGAUUUACUGGGUGUAAAGGGCGUGCAGCCGGGCUGACAAGUCAGAUGUGAAAUCCCGCGGCUCAACCGCGGAACUGCAUUUGAAACUGGCGUGCUCGAGUUGGAGAGAAGUAUGCGGAAUUCGUGGUGUAGCGGUGAAAUGCAUAGAUAUCACGAAGAACCCCGAUUGCGAAGGCAGCAUACCGGCUCCACACUGACGCUGAGGCACGAAAGCGUGGGUAUCGAACAGG